This 258-nucleotide ribosomal RNA is filed under the name uncultured bacterium. RNAcentral describes it as "partial 16S ribosomal RNA". It matches the Rfam family "Bacterial small subunit ribosomal RNA", at positions 96 to 354 of the family's 1533-position model. The record is from RNAcentral.
UGGCGGACGGGUGAGUAACGCGUGGAAAACCUGCCGUAUACUGGGGGAUAACACUUAGAAAUAGGUGCUAAUACCGCAUAAGCGCACAGCUUCGCAUGAAGCGGUGUGAAAAACUCUGGUGGUAUACGAUGGUUCCGCGUCUGAUUAGCUAGUUGGUGGGGUAAUGGCCUACCAAGGCAACGAUCAGUAGCCGGCCUGAGAGGGUGAACGGCCACAUUGGGACUGAGACACGACCCAAACUCCUACGGGAGGCAGCAG